This 1411-nucleotide ribosomal RNA is filed under the name metagenome. Its description in RNAcentral is "bacterial LSU rRNA". It matches the Rfam family "Bacterial large subunit ribosomal RNA", at positions 1499 to 2925 of the family's 2925-position model. The record is from RNAcentral.
GGGUUAUGUGCGGGCAAGUAUUGAGGCAGUUCCGAUAGGCAAAUCCGUCGGAAUAAUGCUGGGGUACGAUGCGGAGCGAAAUUUAGUAGCGAAGUAGCUGAUUUCACACUGUCGAGAAAAGUCUCUAUUGAGGUCAAAGGUGCCUGUACCGCAAACCGACACAGGUGGGUGAGGAGAGUAUCCUAAGGCCAGCGAGAGAACUGUUGUUAAGGAACUCGGCAAAAUGACCCCGUAACUUAGGGAGAAGGGGUGCCUUCGAAAGAAGGCCGCAGAGAAUAGGCCCAAGCGACUGUUUACCAAAAACAUAGGUUUCUGCUAAGUCGCAAGACGAUGUAUAGGAGCUGACGCCUGCCCGGUGCUGGAAGGUUAAGGGGAUCUGUUAGAGCAAUCGAAGCAGUGAACUUAAGCCCCAGUAAACGGCGGCCGUAACAAUAACGGUCCUAAGGUAGCGAAAUUCCUUGUCGGGUAAGUUCCGACCCGCACGAAAGGCGUAACGAUUUGGGCACUGUCUCAACAACAGACUCGGUGAAAUUGUAAUACCGGUGAAGAUGCCGGUUACCUGCGACAGGACGGAAAGACCCCAUGGAGCUUUACUGUAGCUUGACAUUGAGUCUCGGUGCUACAUGUACAGGAUAGGUGGAGACUAUGAAGCAUGGACGUCAGUCUGUGUGGAGUCAUCCUUGGGAUACCACCCUUGUAGUACUGGGAUUCUAACCAGAGGCCAUGAAUCUGGUCUUGGGACACUGUCAGGUGGACAGUUUGACUGGGGCGGUCGCCUCCCAAAAAGUAACGGAGGCGCUCAAAGGUUCUCUCAGUACGGUCGGAAAUCGUACGAAGAGUGUAAAGGCAAAAGAGAGCUUGAUUGCAAGACAUACAGGUCGAGCAAGGACGAAAGUCGGACUUAGUGAUCCGGUGGUUCCGCAUGGAAGGGCCAUCGCUCAACGGAUAAAAGCUACCCUGGGGAUAACAGGCUGAUCUCCCCCAAGAGUCCACAUCGACGGGGAGGUUUAGCACCUCGAUGUCGGCUCAUCACAUCCUGGGGCUGUAGUAGGUCCCAAGGGUUGGGCUGUUCGCCCAUUAAAGUGGUACGCGAGCUGGGUUCAGAACGUCGUGAGACAGUUCGGUCCCUAUCCGUCGCAGGCGUAGGAAAUUUGAGGAGACCUGUCCUUAGUACGAGAGGACCGGGAUGGACGUACCGCUGGUGUACCAGUUGUUCUGCCAAGGGCAUGGCUGGGUAGCUGAGUACGGAAAGGAUAAGCGCUGAAAGCAUCUAAGCGCGAAGCCCACUUCAAGAUAAGAUUUCCCACCGCAAGGCUAAGAUCCCAGGAAGACUACCUGGUUGAUAGGUCAGAGGUGUAAGUGCAGUAAUGUAUUUAGCUUACUGAUACUAAUAGAUCGAGGACUUGACCAA